This 485-nucleotide ribosomal RNA is filed under the name uncultured Actinomycetales bacterium. Its description in RNAcentral is "bacterial SSU rRNA". It matches the Rfam family "Bacterial small subunit ribosomal RNA", at positions 9 to 507 of the family's 1533-position model. The record is from RNAcentral. Lineage: Bacteria; Bacillati; Actinomycetota; Actinomycetes; Actinomycetales.
GAGUUUGAUCCUGGUCAGGACGACGCUGGCGGCGUGCUUAACACAUGCAAGUCGUGCGGAAAGGCCCCUUCGGGGGUACUCGAGCGGCGAACGGGUGAGUAACACGUGAGUAACCUGCCCCUAGCUCUGGGAUAAGCCUGGGAAACUGGGUCUAAUACCGGAUAUGACUUCUGCCCGCAUGGGUCGGGGGUGGAAAGGUCUUUGACCGGCUAGGGAUGGGCUCGCGGCCUAUCAGCUUGUUGGUGGGGUAAUGGCCUACCAAGGCUGUGACGGGUAGCCGGCCUGAGAGGGCGACCGGCCACACUGGGACUGAGACACGGCCCAGACUCCUACGGGAGGCAGCAGUGGGGAAUCUUGCGCAAUGGGCGAAAGCCUGACGCAGCAACGCCGCGUGAGGGAUGACGGCCUUCGGGUUGUAAACCUCUUUCAGCGGGGACGAAGCGAGAGUGACGGUACCCGCAGAAGAAGCGCCGGCCAACUACGUG